ACGCUGGCGGCGUGCCUAAUACAUGCAAGUCGAGCGGACAGAUGGGAGCUUGCUCCCUGAUGUUAGCGGCGGACGGGUGAGUAACACGUGGGUAACCUGCCUGUAAGACUGGGAUAACUCCGGGAAACCGGGGCUAAUACCGGAUGGUUGUUUGAACCGCAUGGUUCAGACAUAAAAGGUGGCUUCGGCUACCACUUACAGAUGGACCCGCGGCGCAUUAGCUAGUUGGUGAGGUAACGGCUCACCAAGGCGACGAUGCGUAGCCGACCUGAGAGGGUGAUCGGCCACACUGGGACUGAGACACGGCCCAGACUCCUACGGGAGGCAGCAGUAGGGAAUCUUCCGCAAUGGACGAAAGUCUGACGGAGCAACGCCGCGUGAGUGAUGAAGGUUUUCGGAUCGUAAAGCUCUGUUGUUAGGGAAGARCAAGUGCCGUUCAAAUAGGUCGGCACC
This 453-nucleotide ribosomal RNA is filed under the name Bacillus sp. R-30813. RNAcentral describes it as "bacterial SSU rRNA". It matches the Rfam family "Bacterial small subunit ribosomal RNA", at positions 33 to 479 of the family's 1533-position model. The record is from RNAcentral. Lineage: Bacteria; Bacillati; Bacillota; Bacilli; Caryophanales; Bacillaceae.